RNAcentral lists this ribosomal RNA (371 nucleotides) under uncultured bacterium. RNAcentral's name for it is "bacterial SSU rRNA". It matches the Rfam family "Bacterial small subunit ribosomal RNA", at positions 524 to 898 of the family's 1533-position model. The record is from RNAcentral.
AACGUAGGGGGCAAGCGUUGCUCGGAAUCACUGGGUUUAAAGGGCUCGCAGGCGGGCAUAUUAGUCGUGGGUCUAAUCUCCGAGCUUAACUCGGAUACGCCUGCGAUACUGUAUGCCUCGAGGGAGAGAUAGGAAACAGGAAUUCCCGGUGUAACGGUGGAAUGUGUAGAUAUCGGGAGGAACACCAAUAGCGAAGGCAAGUUUCUAGCUCUUUUCUGACGCUCAGGAGCGAAAGCGUGGGUAGCAAACAGGAUUAGAUACCCUGGUAGUCCACGCCCUAAACGUUGGGUGCUAGGUGUCGGAGAAUAAUCUUCGGUGCCGCAGAGAAAUCGUUAAGCACCCCACCUGGGGAGUACGGUCGCAAGGCUGAA